GCCAAAAACCACAAAUCUCGAUGCAAUAAAAAUAAAUACGGAAAAUAAAAAGCACACCGAGAUUUACGUGGGAAAACUCCAACUUGGAGAAAAACCCACGGGACCAACACGCGAAAAAAUAAUUCACUAAGAGAAAAGAUUACAAGGUGAUUACCGACUCCACGAACUCUACCUCUCUUAACCUCCUAUGAAUCUUCGCGCUACCCUCCGGGUUGUCCACGCCCUCAUGUUCGAAUCCACGAACGCCUCCACUUCGAAUCCACGAAGCUUCAAUCACGCCGAAUCCACGACGCCACUCGAAUCCACGAGCCAACG
Molecule: long non-coding RNA, 315 nt
Filed under: Ananas comosus (pineapple)
Lineage: Eukaryota; Viridiplantae; Streptophyta; Magnoliopsida; Poales; Bromeliaceae
Description: long non-coding RNA (ACOM_LNC044539)
Source: RNAcentral